This 437-nucleotide long non-coding RNA is filed under the name Zostera marina. Its description in RNAcentral is "long non-coding RNA (ZMAR_LNC006034)". Lineage: Eukaryota; Viridiplantae; Streptophyta; Magnoliopsida; Alismatales; Zosteraceae. The record is from RNAcentral.
UUGGAACGAUCGCUUGGCCCGUGCUUGUGUUUCCUUCCUAAAAAACAACAAAAUAAUUUUGAUUGAUUAAGUUAAUCAUUUUUUCUCAUUGGUUCUUUCGCAGGUAUCCGGAAGAAAAUUUCUUGCAAUUGUCGUCUAGGUGAUCCACACCUGCUAGUUUCUUCGUCUCUUCCCGGGCUUUAUUCAUCCAUUUAUGAUAGUUCAUUGUCAAAUAUUUUUCGAGCACGGUUCAAGCAUAAUCGUUAUUUUCGAAUGUGAAAAAUGUCUAAAAGCGAAAAAUAAGUUGUUAAUAUUUCUAACUAAAUAGAAAAAUGAAAAAAAAGUAUACCAAAUUUAAAGAGUACCAGAAAUUUAUUCCAAACUAGAGUCUUGUUCUCAUCACUCCAUUGAGCCCAAAAAUUUCAUCGUCAGGAAUGUUCGGUUUAACUAUACAUCCG